Molecule: ribosomal RNA, 468 nt
Filed under: uncultured bacterium
Lineage: Bacteria
Description: partial 16S ribosomal RNA
Rfam family: Bacterial small subunit ribosomal RNA
Source: RNAcentral
GACGAACGCUGGCGGCGUGCUUAACACAUGCAAGUCGAACGGAAAGGCCCUGCUUUUGUGGGGUGCUCGAGUGGCGAACGGGUGAGUAACACGUGAGUAACCUGCCCUUGACUUUGGGAUAACUUCAGGAAACUGGGGCUAAUACCGGAUAGGAGCUCCUGCUGCAUGGUGGGGGUUGGAAAGUUUCGGCGGUUGGGGAUGGACUCGCGGCUUAUCAGCUUGUUGGUGGGGUAGUGGCUUACCAAGGCUUUGACGGGUAGCCGGCCUGAGAGGGUGACCGGCCAAAUUGGGACUGAGGUACGGCCCAGACUCCUACGGGAGGCAGCAGUGGGGAAUAUUGCACAAUGGGCGGAAGCCUGAUGCAGCAACGCCGCGUGCGGGAUGACGGCCUUCGGGUUGUAAACCGCUUUCGCCUGUGACGAAGCGUGAGUGACGGUAAUGGGUAAAGAAGCACCGGCUAACUACGUG